Molecule: long non-coding RNA, 1515 nt
Organism: Fukomys damarensis (Damara mole-rat)
Lineage: Eukaryota; Metazoa; Chordata; Mammalia; Rodentia; Bathyergidae
Exons: 3
Source: RefSeq, a predicted model, not a curated record
AUUAGCUGUUAGGCUGUCAUUCCCAAAUUAAUCAGUGUCUGAGUAGAUCAGAAAGGUUAUGCUGAACAUUAAGUCACCUCGGUGCUUUUCUUCCCCCUGAAAUGGUGAGCCCCUCAAGGUCUUACCCACUCAGUAGCUCUCCAAUCCUUUUGAAUAGUAUUCUUGUUUUAAUCCAGUGCUUUAUUUUAUCUUGGCAGGAGAACCAACAAAUCUGACACAAAGUAGUGUGGUGGACCACCAAAAAGAUCAAAGCCACUGUACCUCAGGAGCUUGUUUUAGCCUGCCUGUGUGGAGCAACACAGAGCUGUCUCACCCUCCAGUCACCUGGUGUCUACAUUGAGCUCUGAGAGCAGUCAGCGUGGAUGACUUCUACCCAGGACACCUGGCACAUAGCAAGAGAACUUGGCAGGUUCUGUGGCUUCCUCUGCUCUGUCUGAGCUGCUGGAGAGGAAAGUGGUCAGAGUAGAGUCCCACAAAUGAGGAGAUUCCAUUUAAUAUUUUUGGACCACAGUUGGCCAGGAGUAACUAAAACCAAUACAUAAGAGAGGACUCCUGUACUCCUAUUGUAUGAGGUAAGAACUGUUACCAGCCCAUUUUACAGAUAAAGACAACAGGACACAGUAGCUCAGCCAAAGUACAGACAGAAAGUUUCAGAAUCAUAAAGGCAUUCAAACUCAGGCAGCGUGGCUCCAGCACCUUAACCCAUACUCCAGACUAUCCUUAUCACAACAUUUAUUCCAAGUGCUGGAGGUGUCUCUGCCCUUCUUCUGUGUUUUUCCCAGAGGAAAGCAAAGCAGGAAGAAAUGAACCAAGAACCUUUUAAUUGUUCAGCUAAUAUCAUCCACCAGGUGGCAGUCACAGCUCCUAGAUAAAAUCCAGCUACAUUGUGUAGCUCCCCACCCACUUCCCUCCUGUGAGAAACUUGAUUUUUAUUAUUACCAAGAGGUGAGCAGCCUAGAUUCAAAGCACAACUCUCUGACUGAGCUUCUUGAAAAUGGCACUUGGAGAAUGUGCUUGUCCCAUUUGCAUACAUACACUAUGGGGCUAGUGGCCCAGGCCACCGGGCACAAGAGUGGGUGGACAGCCAGGGUUCCCUUGGAUAGUGCACCACACAGAAUGCAGGAUCCACUGUGUAAGAUGUAAUGCCAGUCCAUAGAAAAGAUGAUUUCCUCCUCCCUCCCCAACUUCUCCUCAAGCAGCUGCUAGAGCUGCAGGGAAAACGAAAGCAUACUUAUUCCUAGUCACGACUCCAUUUGGCCAGUGGCAGGCAUGGGGACAUAGGGUUCCCUGAGGAAACAUCCUCAUAUGACUGUCAGAGAAGGGCCUUCCCGCAUCAUCUGUGUUUGAAAUGCUUUUCCUUGGCCUUCCGCUACUGCCACACAUUCUGGCCACUGCUUCUGUGUUCCUGGGCCUGAAAGAAGUAUGAUUCCAAGUGGGGGCUGGGGGUCCUUGCUCAUAAGCUACCCCGCCAUUCACAAAGCUAAAACCCAAGAGGGAAAGUGGCCCAGUUCCAUG